Molecule: ribosomal RNA, 495 nt
Filed under: uncultured bacterium
Lineage: Bacteria
Description: partial 16S ribosomal RNA
Rfam family: Bacterial small subunit ribosomal RNA
Source: RNAcentral
GACGAACGCUGGCGGCGUGCCUAAUACAUGCAAGUAGAACGCUGAAGGAGGAGCUUGCUUCUCUGGAUGAGUUGCGAACGGGUGAGUAACGCGUAGGUAACCUGCCUGGUAGUGGGGGAUAACUAUUGGAAACGAUAGCUAAUACCGCAUAAUAGCAGUUGUUGCAUGAUAACUGUUUGAAAGGUGCAAUUGCACCGCUACCAGAUGGACCUGCGUUGUAUUAGCUAGUUGGUGGGGUAACGGCUCACCAAGGCGACGAUACAUAGCCGACCUGAGAGGGGGGUCGGCCACACUGGGACUGGGACACCGCCCCGACUCCUACGGGAGGCAGCAGUAGGGGAUCUUCGGCCAUGGACGGAAGUCUGACCGGGCAACGCCGCGGGAGUGAAGAAGGUUUUCGGAUCGUAAAGCUCUGUUGUAAGAGAAGAACGAGUGUGGGAGUGGAAAGUUCACACUGUGACGGUAUCUUACCAGAAAGGGACGGCUAACUACGUG